CCUGGUGGCUAUGGCGAGGGGCCUGCACCCGAUCCCAUCCCGAACUCGGAAGUGAAAACCCUCAGCGCCAAUGGUACUGCAUCU
This 84-nucleotide ribosomal RNA is filed under the name Alphaproteobacteria bacterium HT1-32. The record is from RNAcentral. Lineage: Bacteria; Pseudomonadati; Pseudomonadota; Alphaproteobacteria.